This 253-nucleotide ribosomal RNA is filed under the name uncultured bacterium. RNAcentral describes it as "partial 16S ribosomal RNA". It matches the Rfam family "Bacterial small subunit ribosomal RNA", at positions 524 to 776 of the family's 1533-position model. The record is from RNAcentral.
UACGGGGGGGGUAAGCGUUGUUCGGAAUUACUGGGCGUAAAGGGCUCGUAGGCGGCCAACUAAGUCAGACGUGAAAUCCCUCAGCUUAACUGGGGAACUGCGUCUGAUACUGGAUGGCUUGGAUUCGGGAGAGGAAUGCGGAAUUCCAGGUGUAGCGGUGAAAUGCGUAGAUAUCUGGAGGAACACCGGUGGCGAAGGCGGCAUUCUGGACCGAUAUUGACGCUGAGGAGCGAAGGCUAGGGGAGCAAACGGG